AUGAACGCUAGCGACAGGCCUAACACAUGCAAGUCAGGGGCAGCACAGGAGCAAUCUGAGGUGGCGACCGGCGCACGGUGAGUAACACGUAUGCAACCUGCCUGUAAGCGGGGAAUAACCCGUUGAAAGACGGACUAAUACCGCAUAAUACUAAAUUACUGCAUGGUAAUUUAUUUAAACAUUUUAUGGCUUACAGAUGGGCAUGCGCAUGAUUAGCUAGUUGGAGAGGUAACGGCUCCCCAAGGCAACGAUCAUUAGGGGUUCUGAGAGGAAGGUCCCCCACACUGGUACUGAGACACGGACCAGACUCCUACGGGAGGCAGCAGUGAGGAAUAUUGGUCAAUGGACGAGAGUCUGAACCAGCCAAGUCGCGUGCAGGAAGAAUGUCCCUAUGGAUUGUAAACUGCUUUUGCAGGGGAAUAAAGUGCAUCACGUGUGAUGUUUUGUAUGUACUCUGCGAAUAAGGAUCGGCUAACUCCGUGCCAGCCGCUGC
This 493-nucleotide ribosomal RNA is filed under the name uncultured bacterium. RNAcentral describes it as "bacterial SSU rRNA". It matches the Rfam family "Bacterial small subunit ribosomal RNA", at positions 29 to 518 of the family's 1533-position model. The record is from RNAcentral.